RNAcentral lists this ribosomal RNA (468 nucleotides) under uncultured bacterium. RNAcentral's name for it is "partial 16S ribosomal RNA". It matches the Rfam family "Bacterial small subunit ribosomal RNA", at positions 28 to 507 of the family's 1533-position model. The record is from RNAcentral.
GACGAACGCUGGCGGCGUGCUUAACACAUGCAAGUCGAACGGAAAGGCCCUGCUUUUGUGGGGUGCUCGAGUGGCGAACGGGUGAGUAACACGUGAGUAACCUGCCCUUGACUUUGGGAUAACUUCAGGAAACUGGGGCUAAUACCGGAUAGGAGCUCCUGCUGCAUGGUGGGGGUUGGAAAGUUUCGGCGGUUGGGGAUGGACUCGCGGCUUAUCAGCUUGUUGGUGGGGUAGUGGCUUACCAAGGCUUUGACGGGUAGCCGGCCUGAGAGGGUGACCGGCCACAUUGGGACUGAGAUGCGGCCCAGACUCCUACGGGAGGCAGCAGUGGGGAAUAUUGCACAAUGGGCGGAAGCCUGAUGCAGCAACGCCGCGUGCGGGAUGACGGCCUUCGGGUUGUAAACCGCUUUCGCCUGUGACGAAGAGUGAGUGACGGUAAUGGGUAAAGAAGCACCGGCUAACUACGUG